AAAAUGAAGAGCUUAUAUCAUGGUUCAGAUUGAACGCUGGCGGCAGGCUAACCACAUGCAAGUCGAACGGUAACAGGAAGAAGCUUGCUUCUUUGCUGACGAUGGGCGGACGGGUGAGUAAAGUCUGGGAAACUGCAUGAUGGAGGGGGAUAACUACUGGAAACAGUAGCUAAUACCGCAUAACGUCGCAAGACCAAAGAGGGGGACCUUCGGGCCUCUUGCCAUCGGAUGUGCCCAGAUGGGAUUAGCUAGUAGGUGGGGUAACGGCUCACCUAGGCGACGAUCCCUAGCUGGUCUGAGAGGAUGACCAGCCACACUGGAACUGAGACACGGUCCAGACUCCUACGGGAGGCAGCAGUGGGGAAUAUUGCACAAUGGGCGCAAGCCUGAUGCAGCCAUGCCGCGUGUAUGAAGAAGGCCUUCGGGUUGUAAAGUACUUUCAGCGGGGAGGAAGGGAGUAAAGUUAAUACCUUUGCUCAUUGACGUUACCCGCAGAAGAAGCACCGGCUAACUCCGUGCCAGCAGCCGCGGUAAUACGGAGGGUGCAAGCGUUAAUCGGAAUUACUGGGCGUAAAGCGCACGCAGGCGGUUUGUUAAGUCAGAUGUGAAAUCCCCGGGCUCAACCUGGGAACUGCAUCUGAUACUGGCAAGCUUGAGUCUCGUAGAGGGGGGUAGAAUUCCAGGUGUAGCGGUGAAAUGCGUAGAGAUCUGGAGGAAUACCGGUGGCGAAGGCGGCCCCCUGGACGAAGACUGACGCUCAGGUGCGAAAGCGUGGGGAGCAAACAAGAUUAGAUCCCCUGGUAGUCCACGCCG
Molecule: ribosomal RNA, 813 nt
Filed under: uncultured bacterium
Lineage: Bacteria
Description: bacterial SSU rRNA
Rfam family: Bacterial small subunit ribosomal RNA
Source: RNAcentral